Salvia miltiorrhiza (redroot sage) is the source of this 2381-nucleotide long non-coding RNA. RefSeq lists it as uncharacterized. NCBI's taxonomy places the organism in Eukaryota, Viridiplantae, Streptophyta, Magnoliopsida, Lamiales, Lamiaceae. The transcript is spliced from 3 exons. The record is from RefSeq and is a predicted model, not a curated record.
AGUUGCGUCCUGCGCGCCGUCUGAAGCUAGCAGCCAGGUCGUCCCGCCGCCCUCCACCACAAUCUUCGUCGGACUGCUACUCAGCCGGAAAUCAUUAUCUCCUGCUGUCCGCCGCCCUCUGCCACAAUCUCUGCCAAAUCUGCGAUUGCAAUCGCCGGCAACCAAGAUGUCCACUCCGCAUGUCGCCUUUCCCUUGCUGUCCAAAGUCACCGCCGCCGUGAAGAGCCAUCAACGCGAAGCCUCCGCCGCUCUGCUGCUCUGCCGGAAACCAUCUACUGGCUGCCUCCGCCGCUCUGCUGCUUUGCCGGAAACCGUCGACGACCUAUUGUACAUUUUUGAUAUGUAGUUACAAGGUAUGAUGCGAACAUGGAGUUACAAGGUAAUAACGAUUACUGAUUUCUGAAUUUUAAAUUUUCCCCUAUUUGAAACCCUAAUUGAAAGCUGUGGAAGAAACAUUUUCCCCCUUUCUGUUAUUUCCCUUUUCAAUUUCCCCGUUGAAUUCGACGCUUUGAUAGUGUUAUUUACGGCUCAGAGGCUCCAAUAAUUCCAAGGCGAUGCUCUCUUCUCUGCUGAACAAGAGGGAAAAGCUGCAAGACUAGCUCCGGAGUGUUGAAAAGCAGGUUGUUUAACCCUCUCUAAUUAUGAGAUUUGGAUUUGGUUUUGGUUUAUAUUCUGAAAUUCGUGCUAUAUAAGUGGUUGAAAUCAAUAGAUUACUUCACUCGAGUAUUCAAUAAAUUUAUUUUUAUUUUAUGCCAAUUUCCUUGAACUUGAUUCUCAACCACUUCAAAAUUAAUACUGAUACUAGUUUUAUCCAAAAUUGUUCUCAACUGUAGAGUUAAUUCCAGUUCAUUUUUUGGUUGCUUUGUUUAUUUUGGUUUUUUGAUACUCAAACGUAAAGCUGUCGACUUUAGUCGAUUAUCCACUAUAAAUUUAAUCUCGAAUUUGAUGAGAUAUUUUGAAAUUUUCGUUUAUUUGAUUCUCAGCUCAAGUGUUGUUGUAUUACAUGUUGGUUGAUCAAGAUUUUGUAGUUGUUCUAAACCCGAUGUUUUGGUAGAGACCAUUAUGUCCAAGGUAGCUCUUUCUAUUUCCAAAUGGCUCUCUUACUUUGAAAUUUUCUUUUGUUGGAGCUUAUGUAUCUUGCUAGAGCAGAGCGAUAUGAGUAAUGAGAGGUAUUCUUUUCUUUAAAUUCUCAGAUGGAUAAUUUGGUGGGGUGAGAUUGGGGCACAUGAACAUCAACCAAUUAGGGAUUCGAGGCUCUCAUUAGUCAAUUAAGGAUCGGAAGUCUCAAUUCUUUUCUGUAAACUACUACUUGCUUAGCAAUUGCUAUUGUUUAUAUUUCACCUUUUUUUUCCAUAAGUAUUUGAUUAGAAAUUUAGAAGAGACAUGCUGCUUGUAAAGAAGCAUGAAUUAAAGAGGCCAUUACUUAUUAGGAUCUCAAUCUGUUGCUUCAAGAAUUAUAAAGUGAAAACAAAUGCGCGAGAAAGGAGGAUAAUCAUAUGAAACUUUCAAGUGAUGACAUCUAUACACAGAGUUAAAAGCAGGUGGAGAACUUGAUGAUUUGAAGCCCUGCAUUGAUGCAAUCAAGGUUAAGCCAAAUAAUGGGAAACCUUUAAAGAGUGUCUUGAACGAGUGCCCUUUUAGAAUCUAUAUAUAUUUCAUUUAAUUUGGCUUGCCAACCCCUUUGCUCCCCACAACUGACUUCAUUCUGCAGCCUUUAAGAGAAAGCUGUUAACUUAUUUCCAGAUUAUCAACGACCGAACCGUUGGGGGAAAAUGCUAUGUGUCAGGAUACAUGAUUCAGUCCUACAUCUUCAACUCCUGGUUGCUGCGUGUAGUUAACUAAUUUUUAGUUUCUGAUGGAAAACUGCUAUUGGAAUUAUUUACUGUGUAUUCCCACCAGGUCCAGAUUUGAUGAUCUUGGGAGUAGAGAGCUUUCGUUUGAUACUUUCAAUGAUGAUUUGGAUCAGGUAAAACACUUGAUACCGCUAUUGAAGCUUUUAACAUUUGGUUGUGGUUAGGUUGUUGAAUGUGGUUGUUGCUAUCAACAUGAUGCAAGAUGAAAGAAUCGAGCCGGCAGUCUCUCUUGGAUCACAUCACUGUUCAACUUGCACCACGUGCAGCGGAUGAACUCUUCAGAUGGGCAUAUGCUGCUCUCCCCCAGUUCGUCGCGCCUCGAUCUGCCGCUCUCUCGUCCGCCUUUCCCAGAAGGAGUCCACCUCCACCUGGUCCUCCGCCUCCGUGGUGCACUUUAAGCUACCUCAUACGAUUGCCUAUCUUGGUGCCUAUUUUUUUAGUUUGUCACUUUAAUAAUUCUAAAGGUAGCGGUCAUUCUUCAUUUUUCACUAAAUCUCUAUUGCAGAUUACUUUCAUGAGGAAGAAGGA